RNAcentral lists this long non-coding RNA (428 nucleotides) under Hordeum vulgare. Its description in RNAcentral is "long non-coding RNA (HVUL_LNC005673)". The record is from RNAcentral. Lineage: Eukaryota; Viridiplantae; Streptophyta; Magnoliopsida; Poales; Poaceae.
AGCUAAGCUAGCCAGAUCAGAGUUUGAAUUUGUCCACUUAUCCUCGAUUGGAGGGAACGAACUAGAUGUGGUAUUUUUACAUAUAUAUAGAAGUUGCAAGUGAGCAACUGCAGAUGCUAUAUAUAUAUAUGUGUCCAUGCAGCUUUCCCCUUGCAGAUUAAGGAACAUGCAGGUUCUAGUGGAGUAGUAUUUUCUGCAUUCAGAUCUAGCUAGCUGUAGGCUGCGUUCCUCUGUGACCGUUCAGAUAAAAUACUACAGGUCCAUGAUUACGGUAAUAUGGUCAAUCAGUGAGUAAGUCAACAUGUCAGCUAGAUGUACGAAAAUUUGACUUUUCGUAUCGAAUUUUUUUAGUUACUGGAUAAUCCUAGCUAAUACUAGCUUGAUUAACGAGAAAGUACUGAAUGAGGAAAAACUAAGGCUGUGAGUAU